AUUGAACGCUGGCGGCAGGCCUAACACAUGCAAGUCGGACGGUAGCACAGAGGAGCUUGCUCCUUGGGUGUCGAGUGGCGGACGGGUGAGUAAUGUCUGGGGAUCUGCCCGAUAGAGGGGGAUAACCACUGGAAACGGUGGCUAAUACCGCAUAACGUCGCAAGACCAAAGAGGGGGACCUUCGGGCCUCUCACUAUCGGAAGAACCCAGAUGGGAUUAGCUAGUAGGCGGGGUAAUGGCCCACCUAGGCGACGAUCCCUAGCUGGUCUGAGAGGAUGACCAGCCACACUGGAACUGAGACACGGUCCAGACUCCUACGGGAGGCAGCAGUGGGGAAUGUUGCACAAUGGGCGCAAGCCUGAUGCGGCCAUGCCGCGUGUAUGAAGAAGGCCUUCGGGUUGUAAAGUACUUUCAGCGGGGAGGAAGGCGGUGAGGUUAAUAACCUCGCCGAUUGACGUUACCCGCAGAAGAAGCACCGGCUAACUCCGUGCCAGCCGCCGCAGUAA
This 506-nucleotide ribosomal RNA is filed under the name uncultured bacterium. Its description in RNAcentral is "partial 16S ribosomal RNA". It matches the Rfam family "Bacterial small subunit ribosomal RNA", at positions 29 to 523 of the family's 1533-position model. The record is from RNAcentral.